UGCUUUGCGCAGUGGCAGUAUCCCAGCCAAUGAGGUUUAUCCGAGGCACGAUUAUUGCUGAGAAUCAACAUGGCAACAAAAUAAAGCGUGGCAGAAAACAGCAGUUGUUAGGAAUCCUGGUUCCCUCAGAAGAGA
This 135-nucleotide small nuclear RNA is filed under the name Canis lupus dingo (dingo). RNAcentral describes it as "U4 spliceosomal RNA (ENSCAFG00020014908.1)". The stretch from base 1 to 61 matches the Rfam family "U4 spliceosomal RNA". The record is from RNAcentral. Lineage: Eukaryota; Metazoa; Chordata; Mammalia; Carnivora; Canidae.